Molecule: ribosomal RNA, 426 nt
Filed under: uncultured bacterium
Lineage: Bacteria
Description: partial 16S ribosomal RNA
Rfam family: Bacterial small subunit ribosomal RNA
Source: RNAcentral
GUGGGGGAUAUUGCGCAAUGGGGGCAACCCUGACGCAGCAACGCCGCGUGAAGGAUGAAGGUUUUCGGAUUGUAAACUUCUUUUAUUAAGGACGAAAAAUGACGGUACUUAAUGAAUAAGCUCCGGCUAACUACGUGCCAGCAGCCGCGGUAAUACGUAGGGAGCAAGCGUUGUCCGGAUUUACUGGGUGUAAAGGGUGCGUAGGCGGCUUUGCAAGUCAGAUGUGAAAUCUAUGGGCUCAACCCAUAAACUGCAUUUGAAACUGUAGAGCUUGAGUGAAGUAGAGGCAGGCGGAAUUCCCCGUGUAGCGGUGAAAUGCGUAGAGAUGGGGAGGAACACCAGUGGCGAAGGCGGCCUGCUGGGCUUUAACUGACGCUGAGGCACGAAAGCGUGGGUAGCAAACAGGAUUAGAUACCCUGGUAGUCC